UCAUAAGUUUUUUUUUUUCCGUGUACUCUCAUUGUACUUAUAAAAUUAUCCAUCAAACUUAAAAUAUGGUUCUGUUCAUCCAAAUUUAUUCCAUAUGCACUGGAAUUGUCCCCUAACAUUUGCUGAGAGUUAUGAAGAUCAAACCAGUUAUUUAUCAACAAAAUUGUUUCUGAACACUAAAUAUAAACAAUUAUUAUAAUGUUAGUGCACCCGUGUCUCCAUAGUAUUGCAUUGCUUUAGCAACGGUCCUGGAAAGAAGUUGGGCCGCGGUUUUAACUUUUUGACGUUGAACUCCACUGACAUUUAAAUGAAACUCUGUCACUUUUAACCAUGUUAAAUCCAUGAUCAAUGAUGUUGUUUCUUAUCAAUUUCAAUAAAUGUGGUACAUCAGCAAAGACAUGGACGUUUUUUCCAGUGUUUGGAUGUAAAAAACUACUAUUUGUAUGGGUAACUUUCAAUGAAUUCCACAAAGAAAUUAUUGAAGCAGUCAUUGGUGUGUCAUAAGAAUAAAAGACUGGCUGCUUCCAAGAUUUGAAGAGUCCUCUAACCAUGACCACUUGCACAGUUUGAUGUGGUCCUAAAACUUGAUCAAUUGCUUUAUCAUAGCAUACAUCAUGUGCUAUGUAAACUUCAUCAAAAGAGAGAACAACAAUUUUAUCUCUAUCAGAUAUGGAUGUACCUUAAA
This is a long non-coding RNA of Metopolophium dirhodum (rose-grain aphid), 685 nucleotides long. RefSeq lists it as uncharacterized. The transcript is spliced from 4 exons. Lineage: Eukaryota; Metazoa; Arthropoda; Insecta; Hemiptera; Aphididae. The record is from RefSeq and is a predicted model, not a curated record.